UACGUAGGGGGCAAGCGUUGUCCGGAUUUAUUGGGCGUAAAGAGCGCGCAGGCGGUCGUUCAAGUCGAGUGUGAAAGCCCCCGGCUCAACUGGGGAGGGUCAUUCGAUACUGAUCGACUUGAAGGCAGGAGAGGGAAGUGGAAUUCCCGGUGUAGUGGUGAAAUGCGUAGAGAUCGGGAGGAACACCUGUGGCGAAGGCGGCCCCCUGGGCCGGCCCUGACACUGAGACGCGAAGGCGUGGGGAGCGAACGGG
Molecule: ribosomal RNA, 253 nt
Filed under: uncultured bacterium
Lineage: Bacteria
Description: partial 16S ribosomal RNA
Rfam family: Bacterial small subunit ribosomal RNA
Source: RNAcentral